Molecule: small nuclear RNA, 106 nt
Filed under: Rhinolophus ferrumequinum (greater horseshoe bat)
Lineage: Eukaryota; Metazoa; Chordata; Mammalia; Chiroptera; Rhinolophidae
Description: U2 spliceosomal RNA (ENSRFEG00010017156.1)
Rfam family: U2 spliceosomal RNA
About the family: U2 is a small nuclear RNA (snRNA) component of the spliceosome (involved in pre-mRNA splicing). Complementary binding between U2 snRNA (in an area lying towards the 5' end but 3' to hairpin I) and the branchpoint sequence (BPS) of the intron results the bulging out of an unpaired adenosine, on the BPS, which initiates a nucleophilic attack at the intronic 5' splice site, thus starting the first of two transesterification reactions that mediate splicing.
Source: Rfam by way of RNAcentral
AUCGCUUCUCGGCCUUUUGGCUAAGAUCAAGUGUAGAAAGUUUAUCACUCUUGAUUUUGCCUUUUAUUUGUUCAUUUUUAGCUAAAGCCCUCUCCAGGCACUCUUU